AAAAAGACAAAGAAUUGGGUUUUUUUUUUCUUCAUAGGAUUUUGGGAAGACUGAGGCAAUUGUUGCUGAAUAGUCGAAGUGUUGUACUGGUGAAUCGGGAUUUUAAUGAAGUGAGUGUGAUUACUCUUGACUGUUUUGUGAAAUCGAGUUACGUUUGUGAUGAAGAAUUAAAAGGGUGUCUAUAGGAUUGAGUAUGCAGAGUGAAUGAAAUUUAUUGGGUUAAUCUAACGAGGCAAUCAAUGGAUAC
RNAcentral lists this long non-coding RNA (247 nucleotides) under Physcomitrium patens. RNAcentral's name for it is "long non-coding RNA (PPAT_LNC009882)". The record is from RNAcentral. Lineage: Eukaryota; Viridiplantae; Streptophyta; Bryopsida; Funariales; Funariaceae.